UGGGGAAUCUUGCGCAAUGGGCGAAAGCCUGACGCAGCCAUGCCGCGUGAAUGAUGAAGGUCUUAGGAUUGUAAAAUUCUUUCACCGGGGACGAUAAUGACGGUACCCGGAGAAGAAGCCCCGGCUAACUUCGUGCCAGCAGCCGCGGUAAUACGAAGGGGGCUAGCGUUGCUCGGAAUUACUGGGCGUAAAGGGAGCGUAGGCGGACAUUUAAGUCAGGGGUGAAAUCCCGGGGCUCAACCUCGGAACUGCCUUUGAUACUGGGUGUCUUGAGUGUGAUAGAGGUAUGUGGAACUCCGAGUGUAGAGGUGAAAUUCGUAGAUAUUCGGAAGAACACCAGUGGCGAAGGCGACAUACUGGAUCAUUACUGACGCUGAGGCUCGAAAGCGUGGGGAGCAAACAGGAUUAGAUACCCUGGUAGUCCACGCCGUAAAACGAUGAUUGCUAGUUGUCGGGGUGUUUACACCUCGGUGACGCAGCUAACGCAUUAAGCAAUCCGCCUGGGGGAGUACGGUCGCAAGAUUAAAACUCAAAGGAAUUGACGGGGUCAUAGCUGUUUCCU
Molecule: ribosomal RNA, 562 nt
Filed under: uncultured bacterium
Lineage: Bacteria
Description: partial 16S ribosomal RNA
Rfam family: Bacterial small subunit ribosomal RNA
Source: RNAcentral